UAGGGAAUCUUCCACAAUGGACGCAAGUCUGAUGGAGCAACGCCGCGUGAGUGAAGAAGGUUUUCGGAUCGUAAAGCUCUGUUGUUGGUGAAGAAGGAUAGAGGCAGUAACUGGUCUUUAUUUGACGGUAAUCAACCAGAAAGUCACGGCUAACUACGUGCCAGCAGCCGCGGUAAUACGUAGGUGGCAAGCGUUGUCCGGAUUUAUUGGGCGUAAAGCGAGCGCAGGCGGAAUGAUAAGUCUGAUGUGAAAGCCCACGGCUCAACCGUGGAACUGCAGCGGAAACUGUCAUUCUUGAGUGCAGAAGAGGAGAGUGGAAUUCCAUGUGUAGCGGUGGAAUGCGUAGAUAUAUGGAAGAACACCAGUGGCGAAGGCGGCUCUCUGGUCUGCAACUGACGCUGAGGCUCGAAAGCAUGGGUAGCGAACAGG
This 429-nucleotide ribosomal RNA is filed under the name bacterium. RNAcentral's name for it is "partial 16S ribosomal RNA". It matches the Rfam family "Bacterial small subunit ribosomal RNA", at positions 355 to 776 of the family's 1533-position model. RNAcentral also lists the same sequence under 1 other name. The record is from RNAcentral.